GUAUCCGCACUCCUGUGAGAACGCCCCUAAACCCUCAUGGAAAAGGGAGCUGAUAUCAGGCUCAUUAUGCCCAAGACAUCUAGCUACGCCACACCCACAAGGGAAUUCAGCAGUGAUUAACAUUGAAAAUGAGCGACAGCUCGAUUUAGUUAAAGUUUAGAGAGCCGGCUAAUCUGGUGCCAGCCGCCGCGGUUACACCAAGAGGCUCAAGUUGACUUUAUUCGGCGUAAAGCGUGAUUAAAGCUAAAAUAUAUUAAAGUUAAACUAAAACUGAACCGUAGCACGUCUGUUUUUAGGAAGCCCACAAACGAAAGUUACUUUAACUUAAACAACUUGAAUUCACGACAACUAAGACACAAACUGGGAUUAGAUACCCCACUAUGCUUAGUCGUAAACUUUAAAUUACAUCAAUAUCGCCAGGGAACUACGAGCAAAGCUUAAAACCCAAAGGACUUGACGGUACCCCAUAUCCCCCUAGAGGAGCCUGUCCUGUAAUCGAUACCCCCCGCUUAACCUCACCAUUUUUAGCCUAUCAGCCUGUAUACCUCCGUCGUCAGCUUACCACGUGAGCGUUAUUUAGUAAGCUCAAAGUCUUUACAUCAACACGUCAGGUCAAGGUGCAGCAAAUAAAAUGGCAAGAGAUGGGCUACACUUUCUAAUCUAGAAAAUACGAAAGAUUAUAUAUGAAACCUAAUCAGAAGGCGGAUUUAGUAGUAAAAAGAAAUCAGAGUGUUCUUUUUAACUCGGCACUGGGGUGUGU
Molecule: ribosomal RNA, 760 nt
Rfam family: Bacterial small subunit ribosomal RNA